This 497-nucleotide ribosomal RNA is filed under the name uncultured bacterium. RNAcentral describes it as "partial 16S ribosomal RNA". It matches the Rfam family "Bacterial small subunit ribosomal RNA", at positions 28 to 507 of the family's 1533-position model. The record is from RNAcentral.
GAUGAACGCUGGCGGCGUGCCUAAUACAUGCAAGUCGAGCGAACAGACGAGGAGCUUGCUCCUCUGACGUUAGCGGCGGACGGGUGAGUAACACGUGGAUAACCUACCUAUAAGACUGGGAUAACUUCGGGAAACCGGAGCUAAUACCGGAUAAUAUAUUGAACCGCAUGGUUCAAUAGUGAAAGACGGUUUUGCUGUCACUUAUAGAUGGAUCCGCGCCGCAUUAGCUAGUUGGUAAGGUAACGGCUUACCAAGGCAACGAUGCGUAGCCGACCUGAGAGGGUGAUCGCCCACACUGGAACUGAGACACGGUCCAGACUCCGCCGGGAGGCAGCAGUAGGGAAUCUUCCGCAAUGGGCGAAAGCCUGACGGAGCAACGCCGCGUGAGUGAUGAAGGUCUUCGGAUCGUAAAACUCUGUUAUUAGGGAAGAACAAAUGUGUAAGUAACUAUGCACGUCUUGACGGUACCUAAUCAGAAAGCCACGGCUAACUACGUG